AACGAACGCUGGCGGCAGGCCUAACACAUGCAAGUCGAGCGCUUCACUUCGGUGAGGAGCGGCGGACGGGUUAGUAACGCGUGGGAAUAUACCCUUCUCUACGGAAUAGCCUCGGGAAACUGAGAGUAAUACCGUAUAAGCCCUUCGGGGGAAAGAUUUAUCGGUGAAGGAUUAGCCCGCGUUAGAUUAGAUAGUUGGUGGGGUAAUGGCCUACCAAGUCUACGAUCUAUAGCUGGUUUGAGAGGAUGAUCAGCAACACUGGGACUGAGACACGGCCCAGACUCCUACGGGAGGCAGCAGUGGGGAAUCUUAGACAAUGGGCGCAAGCCUGAUCUAGCCAUGCCGCGUGAGUGACGAAGGUCUUAGGAUCGUAAAGCUCUUUCGCCAGAGAUGAUAAUGACAGUAUCUGGUAAAGAAACCCCGGCUAACUCCGUGCCAGCAGCCGCGGUAAUACGGAGGGGGUUAGCGUUGUUCGGAAUUACUGGGCGUAAAGCGUACGUAGGCGGAUUGGAAAGUAGGGGGUGAAAUCCCAGGGCUCAACCCUGGAACUGCCUCCUAAACUAUCAGUCUAGAGUUCGAGAGAGGUGAGUGGAAUUCCAAGUGUAGAGGUGAAAUUCGUAGAUAUUUGGAGGAACACCAGUGGCGAAGGCGGCUCACUGGCUCGAUACUGACGCUGA
Molecule: ribosomal RNA, 677 nt
Filed under: alpha proteobacterium IMCC14347
Lineage: Bacteria; Pseudomonadati; Pseudomonadota; Alphaproteobacteria
Description: bacterial SSU rRNA
Rfam family: Bacterial small subunit ribosomal RNA
Source: RNAcentral